This 71-nucleotide ribosomal RNA is filed under the name uncultured bacterium. RNAcentral's name for it is "partial 16S ribosomal RNA". The record is from RNAcentral.
ACAGGUGGGGCAUGGGGGUUGUCAGCUUGGGUUGUGAAAUGUUGGGUUAAAUCCCGCAAAGAGGGCAACCC